Long non-coding RNA from Homo sapiens (human), 411 nucleotides. Ensembl annotates it as ITFG2 antisense RNA 1. Its record names the gene ITFG2-AS1. NCBI's taxonomy places the organism in Eukaryota, Metazoa, Chordata, Mammalia, Primates, Hominidae. The record is from Ensembl.
UCCCUGCACAGAUCCAGGCUGUCUCUUGCGGUGCGCAUGCACCUACCGUAUCGUUAUCAACGUCUCCGAGGCAGAUUGCGUGCGGGAAGAGGCUCCCGCUGAACUCCAGCGCCACGCGCUGCACGUAGCUAACUGACCUCAUGGCACCUCCAAGAGCAGAGGGAGCGGAGAGGCCCAGUAAAUAUUCCCUGAACCCCCGUCGCGACAGCCGCCAGAGCGGAAGGCCACCUAAGGCAGCAAGUUACGUCACUGCCUGAACCUCCAAUCUCUGCCUCUUCCUCCUUUAACCUUACAGAGGAGGCGGGUCUUCCGGGCUUGGAGGCGGGCUUCCCAACUCUGAUGUGCAGCAAGACUUGGUUUGAAAAAGGAGACAAAAGGCUGAGAGAUCUGAGUUCAAGUUUCCGCUGUAUG